This 411-nucleotide ribosomal RNA is filed under the name Odontella aurita. RNAcentral describes it as "partial Bacterial small subunit ribosomal RNA". It matches the Rfam family "Bacterial small subunit ribosomal RNA", at positions 214 to 617 of the family's 1533-position model. The record is from RNAcentral. Lineage: Eukaryota; Bacillariophyta; Thalassiosirophyceae; Eupodiscales; Odontellaceae.
UGCGCUAUCAGAUGAGCCUAGGUCGGAUUAGCUAGUUGGUGAGGUAAUGGCUCACCAAGGCGACGAUCCGUAACUGGUCUGAGAGGAUGAUCAGUCACACUGGAACUGAGACACGGUCCAGACUCCUACGGGAGGCAGCAGUGGGGAAUAUUGCACAAUGGGGGAAACCCUGAUGCAGCCAUGCCGCGUGUGUGAAGAAGGCCUUCGGGUUGUAAAGCACUUUCAGCGAGGAGGAAAGGGAUGUAGUUAAUAACUGCAUUCUGUGACGUUACUCGCAGAAGAAGCACCGGCUAACUUCGUGCCAGCAGCCGCGGUAAUACGAGGGGUGCAAGCGUUAAUCGGAAUUACUGGGCGUAAAGCGCACGCAGGCGGUUUGUUAAGCUAGAUGUGAAAGCCCCGGGCUCAACCUGG